GGGAAGGUGGCUCAGUGGUAGAGCGCUUGCCUUGCAUCCAUGAGGUCCUUGGUUCGAUUCCUCAGCACCCCA
Molecule: non-coding RNA, 72 nt
Organism: Dipodomys ordii (Ord's kangaroo rat)
Lineage: Eukaryota; Metazoa; Chordata; Mammalia; Rodentia; Heteromyidae
Source: Rfam